Molecule: ribosomal RNA, 466 nt
Filed under: uncultured bacterium
Lineage: Bacteria
Description: partial 16S ribosomal RNA
Rfam family: Bacterial small subunit ribosomal RNA
Source: RNAcentral
CUACGGGCCGCUGCAGUCGAGAAUAGUCUACAAUGGACGAAAGUCUGAUAGUGCGACGCCGCGUGGAUGAAGAAGCAUUUCGGUGUGUAAAGUCCUUUUCUGUGUGAGCAAUGUUUUCCAGGUUAAUAGCUUGGAGAAAGCGAUAUUAACGCAGGAAUAAGCUCCGGCUAACUCCGUGCCAGCAGCCGCGGUAACACGGGGGGAGCAAGCGUUGUCCGGAAUUACUAGGCGUAAAGGGUAAGUAGGCGGAAUUGUAAGUCAUAUGUUAAAGGCACCGGCUCAACCGGUGUAUGGCAUUUGAUACUGUAAUUCUAGAGUAAGGUGGGGGAAGACGGAAUUCCUGGUGUAGCGGUGGAAUGCGCAGAUAUCAGGAGGAACACCAGAGGCGCAGGCGGUCUUCUAUACCAUUACUGACGCUCAAUUACGAAGGUGUGGGUAUCAAACAGGAUUAGAUACCCUCGUAGUC